CAGUAGCCGCGGGAAUACGAAGGGUGCAAGCGUUACUCGGAAUUACUGGGCGUAAAGCGUGCGUAGGUGGUUGUUUAAGUCUGCUGUGAAAGCCCUGGGCUCAACCUGGGAAUUGCAGUGGAUACUGGACGACUAGAGUAAGGUAGAGGAUAGUGGAAUUUCCGGUGUAGCAGUGAAAUGCGUAGAGAUCGGAAGGAACAUCUGUGGCGAAGGCGACUAUCUUGGCCAUUACUGACACUGAGGCACGAAAGCGUGGGGAGCAAACAGGAUUAGAUACCCCCGUAGUCCCUGUCUCUUAUAC
This 301-nucleotide ribosomal RNA is filed under the name uncultured bacterium. RNAcentral's name for it is "partial 16S ribosomal RNA". It matches the Rfam family "Bacterial small subunit ribosomal RNA", at positions 509 to 807 of the family's 1533-position model. The record is from RNAcentral.